AUGCAAGUCGUACGAGGGUUUUUAACUUUAGUGGCGGACGGGUGAGUAACACGUGAGAAUUUGCCUUUAGGAGGGGGAUAACAAUCGGAAACGAAUGCUAAUACCCCAUAUGCUUUUGAGUGAAAUGGAUUUAUCCGCCUAAAGAGAAGCUCGCGGCUGAUUAGCUUGUUGGUAAGGUAAGAGCUUACCAAGGCGACGAUCAGUAUCUGGUUUGAGAGGACGAUCAGACACACUGGAACUGAGACACGGUCCAGACUCCUACGGGAGGCAGCAGUGGGGAAUUUUCCGCAAUGGGCGAAAGCCUGACGGAGCAAUACCGCGUGAGGGAAGACUGCCUAUGGGUUGUAAACCUCUUUUUUCAGGGAGGAAUAAAUUGACGUGUACCUGAAGAAUAAGCAUCGGCUAACUCCGUGCCAGCAGCCGCGGUAAGACGGAGGAUGCAAGUGUUAUCCGGAAUCACUGGGCGUAAAGCGUCUGUAGGUGGUUUAAUAAGUCAACUGUUAAAUCUUGAGGCUCAACUUCAAAAUCGCAGUCGAAACUAUUAGACUAGAGUAUAGUAGAGGUAAAGGGAAUUUCCAGUGGAGCGGUGAAAUGCGUAGAUAUUGGAAAGAACACCAAUGGCGAAAGCACUUUACUGGGCUAUUACUAACACUCAGAGACGAAAGCUAGGGUAGCAAAUGGGAUUAGAUACCCCAGUAGUCCUAGCCGUAAACUAUGGAUACUAGAUG
Molecule: ribosomal RNA, 728 nt
Filed under: uncultured cyanobacterium
Lineage: Bacteria; Bacillati; Cyanobacteriota
Description: bacterial SSU rRNA
Rfam family: Bacterial small subunit ribosomal RNA
Source: RNAcentral